Molecule: ribosomal RNA, 464 nt
Filed under: uncultured archaeon
Lineage: Archaea
Description: bacterial SSU rRNA
Rfam family: Archaeal small subunit ribosomal RNA
Source: RNAcentral
CCCGACUGCUAUCGGAUUGAGAUUUAGCCACGCGAGUCGAACGUCCCCCUGUUGCGGGGGGCGUGGCGUACGGCUCAGUAACACGGCAUUCAACCUGUCCCUGAGAGACACGGACAACCCCGGGAAACUGGGACUAAUCCGUGUAUAGGUCACCUCAUCUGGAAGGAGAGAUGGCCCAAAGGGGCGCGCGGGCUUCUUCUGCGCGUUCGCUCCAGGAUGGGACUGCGACCGAUCAGGCUGUUGGCGGGGUAAAGGCCCACCAAACCUGUAACCGGUACGGGCCUUGAGAGAGGUGGCCCGGAGAUGGACACUGAGAAAAGGGUCCAUGUCCUACGGGGCGCAGCAGGCGCGAAAUCUUCGCAAUGCGCGAAAGCGUGACGAGGUUAAUCCGAGUGAUUUCCGCUGAGGAGACCUUUUGUCGGCUGUAAAUAGGCCGGCGAAUCAGGGGAGGGCAAGCCUGGUGU